Molecule: ribosomal RNA, 500 nt
Filed under: uncultured bacterium
Lineage: Bacteria
Description: partial 16S ribosomal RNA
Rfam family: Bacterial small subunit ribosomal RNA
Source: RNAcentral
AUUGAACGCUGGCGGAAUGCUAUACACAUGCAAGUCGAACGGCAGCACGGACUUCGGUCUGGUGGCGAGUGGCGAACGGGUGAGUAAUGUAUCGGAACGUGCCCAGUCGUGGGGGAUAACGUAGUGAAAAUUACGCUAAUACCGCAUACGAUCUAUGGAUGAAAGCGGGGGAUCGCAAGACCUCGCGCGAUUGGAGCGGCCGAUAUCAGAUUAGGUAGUUGGUGGGGUAAAGGCCCACCAAGCCAACGAUCUGUAGCUGGUCUGAGAGGACGGCCAGCCACACUGGAACUGAGACACGGUCCAGACUCCUACGGGAGGCAGCAGUGGGGAAUUUUGGACAAUGGGCGAAAGCCUGAUCCAGCCAUUCCGCGUGCAGGAUGAAGGCCCUCGGGUUGUAAACUGCUUCUGUACAGAACGAAAAGGUUUCUACUAAUACUAGGAGCUCAUGACGGUACUGUAAGAAUAAGCACCGGCUAACUACGUGCCAGCCGCCGCCGUAA